UACGGAGGGUGCAAGCGUUAAUCGGAAUUACUGGGCGUAAAGCGCGCGUAGGCGGUUUUUUAAGUCGGAUGUGAAAGCCCCGGGCUCAACCUGGGAACUGCAUCCGAUACUGGAAGACUAGAAUGCGGGAGAGGGAGGUAGAAUCCCAUGUGUAGCAGUGAAAUGCGUAGAUAUAUGGAGGAAUACCAGUGGCGAAGGCGGCCUCCUGGCUCGACAUUGACGCUGAGGUGCGAAAGCGUGGGGAGCAAACGGG
RNAcentral lists this ribosomal RNA (253 nucleotides) under uncultured bacterium. Its description in RNAcentral is "partial 16S ribosomal RNA". It matches the Rfam family "Bacterial small subunit ribosomal RNA", at positions 524 to 776 of the family's 1533-position model. The record is from RNAcentral.